AGCAGCCGCGGUAAUUCCAGCUCCAAUAGCGUAUAUUAAAGUUGUUGCAGUUAAAAAGCUCGUAGUUGAAUUUCGGAAUCUGUCCAUCGGUCGGGCUUCACAGUCCGUACUGGUGUGGUGGGUUCUUACCUUCUGAAUAACCAGCAUGCCAUUUAUUUGGUGCGUUGGGGAAGCAGGACUAUUACCUUGAAAAAAUUGAGUGCUCAAAGCAGGCUAGUGCCUGAAUACAUUAGCAUGGAAUAAUAAAAUAGGACGGCAUGGUUCUAUUUUGUGGUUUCUAGGAUCACCGUAAUGAUUGAUAGGGAUAGUUGGGGCAUUAGUAUUCAAUUUGUCAGAGGUGAAAUUCUUGGAUUUAUUGAAG
RNAcentral lists this ribosomal RNA (361 nucleotides) under uncultured Acaulospora. RNAcentral describes it as "SSU rRNA". It matches the Rfam family "Eukaryotic small subunit ribosomal RNA", at positions 569 to 934 of the family's 1831-position model. The record is from RNAcentral. Lineage: Eukaryota; Fungi; Glomeromycota; Glomeromycetes; Diversisporales; Acaulosporaceae.